RNAcentral lists this ribosomal RNA (508 nucleotides) under uncultured bacterium. Its description in RNAcentral is "bacterial SSU rRNA". It matches the Rfam family "Bacterial small subunit ribosomal RNA", at positions 13 to 529 of the family's 1533-position model. The record is from RNAcentral.
UUGAUCCUGGCUCAGAGCGAACGUUUGCGGCGGGCUUAACACAUGCAAGUCGAACGAGAAUCCCUUCGGGGAGGAAAGUGGCGCACGGGUGCGUAACACGUGGAUGACCUACCCCUUGGUUCGGGACAACAGCGGGAAACUGCUGCUAAUACCGGAUGUGUCGUAGCAAUACGAGAAAGGCCCGCAAGGGUCGCCAGGGGACGGGUCCGCGUCCCAUCAGCUAGUUGGUGAGGUAAUGGCUCACCAAGGCGAAGACGGGUAGCUGGUCUGAGAGGAUGAUCAGCCACACUGGAACUGAGACACGGUCCAGACUCCUACGGGAGGCAGCAGUGGGGAAUAUUGCGCAAUGGGCGAAAGCCUGACGCAGCCACGCCGCGUGAGCGAUGAAGGUCUUCGGAUCGUAAAGCUCUGUGGGGGGAGAAGAAGAAAGUCGGUGAAGAGCCGGCCCUGACGGUAUCCCCUUAGCAAGCACCGGCUAACUCCGUGCCAGCAGCCGCGGUAAUACGGA